Molecule: long non-coding RNA, 1791 nt
Filed under: Patiria miniata (bat star)
Lineage: Eukaryota; Metazoa; Echinodermata; Asteroidea; Valvatida; Asterinidae
Description: uncharacterized LOC119733416, transcript variant X2
Source: RNAcentral
UGCAUUAAAAUCUAGCUAACAAUGAGGGCGUACUUUACGAACCCAUUGUGAUAGGGCACGCAUGUGUUCACUGCGCAAACUGGCCAGUCACGCUCCGCUAGUAUACGCAAAAAAGUCUGUAUUUUGGGCAGAAAUCUCCUUCUGUUGUUGGAGUUGACUUAUUGAGAGGACAAUUGAGACGAUUGCUGACUGGUUAGUGCAUUUCGGCAAGAUGAAGACAUUCAACGCUGUGGUUCUCCUUGUGUGUUUGGGCCUAGCCUAUUCCAAGGAACUCCAUCAUAAACCCCAAUAUCUUACUCGUGGAGAACACCGGUCCCUUCGAACAGGUAUAACUCACGAAUUUACCGGUCCAAACCAUCAGGAACAGGAUGAUGACGAUCGUGACAGUGAUGCAGAGGACGCUUCAUUUAGAGUGUCGCCUCAUCACAAUCAAGAUCAACAGACUCCAGAAUUUCACGGUGACCGUGAAUUUGAUCGUAAAGUAAUACAUGUAGAUGAAGGCAAGCCCCUCGAAGUCUUGGCUCAAGUAGAUCACACGAAAGAGCAAGUUUUCGAAAGCCUCGAACGUGAAGCAUAGGAUGCUUUACUUGGAGAUCUCGAUGUGCCAGCAGUUUACUUCAAAAAGCCUCUGCACUGAUGACGUCACACUUUAGUUGCGUGUGUGCUUGCCUAUGGUGCCUAUAAGUGGACCGUGGGACACUGGCUCCGUACGAAAGUGCACAUGUAAACAAAGUGUGAUGUCAUCAGUACAGAGGCUUCUUGUUAAUCCUUUUGGUUGAGGGAUUUGAAUUAUGCAUGACUUGUGUUUAAUUUCACCUUUCUUAUCAAGGGUUAAUCUAUCAUUGUAGUAAAUCACUUUCUGGGUGGAAAACAAUGACAACUAAAUCAGUGAAUCACCGUCAAAUGGAUUUAAGUGGUACACCACAAAAAGUAGGAUUAUUUAACUGACUUUAUUUCUUUGGAAAGGUUAGAGAAAGGGCUGUAAUAGAUUGGGAUAUAUACAAUGUAUACAUUACAAACAAUCGGCUCAGCGCGUGAACUACAAAGGGUGCUGUACAAACGUGAACGGAGAGAUAGGCUGGCUUCCGGUCCCGCCAUUACAUCGUCUGGAAUCUGUCCUCAAUGAAUAUUGUCUUCGCUGAUUGCCAUACCUUAUUUCUCAACCGCUAUAUUAUUUAUCAAGGUAGAAUCGUUGUUGAACAAGAGAAGUAGACCAGCCCAUUAAAGUCAGUAUUGCAUUUUUACCACCACUUACAACAGCCUAUGGACUUUGGAAGGAGUAGCAGUUCGAGUCAAUCAGACAAUAGUCAAGCGGUUGUCAAACUAGUUCUAAUGGUCUACUUUCAACUUGUUUUGAACUGUAGGCCUACAUCCUGAGUUUAUAUCAUUAUAAACUACGAAUACAUACGGUAUUCUGAAUUAGUAAUGGUUUGUAUCAUUGUGAUUGUAGAGGUUUUUUUCGAAGUGUGCUACAUGUUUAGCUCCUCACUGGGAAAAUAUUCUCAGUGUUCUCGAAAAAUCAGUUCUCAGUCGCACAAAAUUUCGCUUGUCCACUUUGUAUUUUUUAGCUUAUAAUACAGGCAGGAUUGCGAUUUUAAUUGAUUGUGGCUUUCGAAGAUCAUUUUUUUCAGAGUCGAUUCCACGUGAUAUUCAAAAUUCUGAACGUGCCAGACUAUUCCACACCUAAUUAUAAUAUUCACAUCUAAUGAUUAUAACAUAAGAUUUCGAUUAACUUUGCCUAUGAUUGGUUUAAAUUAAAAUGAUGCUGGCACUGUAGCGUAACAACCACCA